AACGAACGCUGGCGGCAUGCCUAACACAUGCAAGUCGAACGGAUGGUCGCAAGACCAUUAGUGGCGGACGGGUGCGUAACGCGUGGGAACCUGCCUUGAAGUUCGGAAUAACUGCGGGAAACUGCAGCUAAUACCGGAUGUGGCCUGUGGGCCAAAGGGGAAACUCGCUUCAAGAGGGGCCGCGUCCGAUUAGCUAGUUGGCGGGUAACGGCCCACCAAGGCGAUGAUCGGUAGCNGGUCUGAGAGGACGACCAGCCACACUGGAACUGAGAUACGGUCCAGACUCCUACGGGAGGCAGCAGUGGGGAAUAUUGGACAAUGGGGGCAACCCUGAUCCAGCAAUGCCGCGUGAGUGAUGAA
RNAcentral lists this ribosomal RNA (360 nucleotides) under uncultured bacterium. RNAcentral describes it as "bacterial SSU rRNA". It matches the Rfam family "Bacterial small subunit ribosomal RNA", at positions 29 to 412 of the family's 1533-position model. The record is from RNAcentral.